This 98-nucleotide ribosomal RNA is filed under the name Microtus ochrogaster (prairie vole). The record is from RNAcentral. Lineage: Eukaryota; Metazoa; Chordata; Mammalia; Rodentia; Cricetidae.
AUCUAUGACCAUACCACCUUGAACUUGCCAGAUCAAAUCUGAUCUUGGAAGCUAAGCAGGGCUGGACCCGGUUCGUACUUAGACGGGAGAAAUAAUUU